UGGGGAAUAUUGGACAAUGGGCGAAAGCCUGAUCCAGCCAUGCCGCGUGUGUGAAGAAGGUCUUCGGAUUGUAAAGCACUUUAAGUUGGGAGGAAGGGCAGUAAGCGAAUACCUUGCUGUUUUGACGUUACCGACAGAAUAAGCACCGGCUAACUCUGUGCCAGCAGCCGCGGUAAUACAGAGGGUGCGAGCGUUAAUCGGAUUUGCUGGGCGUAAAGCGUGCGUAGGCGGCUAAUUGAGUCGGAUGUGAAAUCCCCGAGCUUAACUUGGGAAUUGCAUUCGAUACUGGUUAGCUAGAGUUUGGGAGAGGAUGGUAGAAUUCCAGGUGUAGCGGUGAAAUGCGUAGAGAUCUGGAGGAAUACCGAUGGCGAAGGCAGCCAUCUGGCCUAACACUGACGCUGAGGUACGAAAGCAUGGGGAGCAAACAGG
Molecule: ribosomal RNA, 429 nt
Filed under: Pseudomonadota bacterium
Lineage: Bacteria; Pseudomonadati; Pseudomonadota
Description: Proteobacteria bacterium partial 16S ribosomal RNA
Rfam family: Bacterial small subunit ribosomal RNA
Source: RNAcentral